UACGUAGGGUGCGAGCGUUGUCCGGAAUUAUUGGGCGUAAAGGGCUCGUAGGCGGUCUGUCACGUCGGGAGUGAAAACUCGGGGCUUAACCCCGAGCCUGCUUCCGAUACGGGCAGACUAGAGGUAUGCAGGGGAGAACGGAAUUCCUGGUGUAGCGGUGAAAUGCGCAGAUAUCAGGAGGAACACCGGUGGCGAAGGCGGUUCUCCGGGCAUUACCUGACGCUGAGGAGCGAAAGUGUGGGGAGCGAACAGG
This 253-nucleotide ribosomal RNA is filed under the name uncultured bacterium. RNAcentral's name for it is "partial 16S ribosomal RNA". It matches the Rfam family "Bacterial small subunit ribosomal RNA", at positions 524 to 776 of the family's 1533-position model. The record is from RNAcentral.